GUGAAUCAUCGAAUCUUUGAACGCACCUUGCGCUCUCUGGUAUUCCGGAGAGCAUGUCUGUUUGAGUGUCAUGAACUCUUCAACCCACCGGUUCCUUGUUGGACCGGAUUGGUGUUUGGAUUUUGAGUGUUGCUAUUUAGUUAGCUCAUUCGUAAUACAUUAGCAUCUCAAUUUCGUAAUCGGAUUGACUCAGCGUAAUAGACUAUUCGCUGAGGACACCAUUUUGGUGGCCGAGACAUGAAAGAGUGGAAGCUUCAAACCCCUCCUAGUCAUUUUUAGAUUAGACCUCAGAUCAGGCAG
RNAcentral lists this unclassified non-coding RNA (300 nucleotides) under uncultured Chrysozymaceae. RNAcentral's name for it is "sequence contains 5.8S rRNA gene, ITS2". The stretch from base 1 to 71 matches the Rfam family "5.8S ribosomal RNA", at positions 84 to 154 of the family's 154-position model. The record is from RNAcentral. Lineage: Eukaryota; Fungi; Basidiomycota; Microbotryomycetes.